Molecule: ribosomal RNA, 500 nt
Filed under: uncultured Actinomycetes bacterium
Lineage: Bacteria; Bacillati; Actinomycetota; Actinomycetes
Description: bacterial SSU rRNA
Rfam family: Bacterial small subunit ribosomal RNA
Source: RNAcentral
CCUGAUGCAGCGACGCCGCGUGAGGGAUGACGGCCUUCGGGUUGUAAACCUCUUUCAGCAGGGAAGAAGCGAAAGUGACGGUACCUGCAGAAGAAGCGCCAGCUAACUACGUGCCAGCAGCCGCGGUAAUACGUAGGGCGCAAGCGUUGUCCGGAAUUAUUGGGCGUAAAGAGCUCGUAGGCGGCUUGUCACGUCGAUUGUGAAAGCCCGAGGCUUAACCUCGGGUCUGCAGUCGAUACGGGCUAGCUAGAGUGUGGUAGGGGAGAUCGGAAUUCCUGGUGUAGCGGCGAAAUGCGCAGAUAUCAGGAGGAACACCGGUGGCGAAGGCGGAUCUCUGGGCCAUUACUGACGCUGAGGAGCGGAAGCGUGGGGAGCGAACAGGAUUAGAUACCCUGGUAGUCCACGCCGUAAACGGUGGGAACUAGGUGUUGGCGACAUUCCACGUCGUCGGUGCCGCAGCUAACGCAUUAAGUUCCCCGCCUGGGGAGUACGGUCGCAAG